UACGAAGGGGGCGAGCGUUGUUCGGAAUUACUGGGCGUAAAGGGCGCGCAGGCGGCCUUAGAAGUCAGAUGUGAAAGCCCCGGGCUCAACCUGGGAAUGGCAUUUGAUACUCUGAGGCUGGAGUACGGGAGAGGAGAGUGGAAUUCCCAGUGUAGAGGUGAAAUUCGUAGAUAUUGGGAAGAACACCGGUGGCGAAGGCGGCUACUCUGGACCGUAACUGACGCUGAGGCGCGAAAGCG
This 239-nucleotide ribosomal RNA is filed under the name uncultured bacterium. RNAcentral's name for it is "partial 16S ribosomal RNA". It matches the Rfam family "Bacterial small subunit ribosomal RNA", at positions 524 to 761 of the family's 1533-position model. The record is from RNAcentral.